RNAcentral lists this ribosomal RNA (435 nucleotides) under uncultured bacterium. RNAcentral describes it as "bacterial SSU rRNA". It matches the Rfam family "Bacterial small subunit ribosomal RNA", at positions 29 to 507 of the family's 1533-position model. The record is from RNAcentral.
ACGAACGCUGGCGGUGUGCUUCACACAUGCAAGUCGAACGAGGUAGCAAUACCUAGUGGCGGACGGGUGAGUAACGCGUGGGAAUCUGCCUUUAGAUGGGGGAUAACGGGUCGAAAGACUCGCUAAUACCGCAUAUGACGAAAGUUGAAAGGAGUAAUCCGUCUAAAGAUGAGCCCGCGUCCGAUUAGCUAGUUGGUAGAGUAAAAGCCUACCAAGGCGACGAUCGGUAGCUGGUCUGAGAGGAUGAUCAGCCACAAUGGGACUGAGACACGGCCCAUACUCCUACGGGAGGCAGCAGUGGGGAAUUUUACGCAAUGGGCGAAAGCCUGACGUAGCGACACCGCGUGAGCGAAGAAGCCCCUUGGGGUGUAAAGCUCUGUCAGCUGGAACGAAAAAAUGACGGUACCAGCAGAGGAAGCAUCGGCUAACUACGUG